UCAAAAACAUGUCUUUUUGAGAAUAAUUUAAAGUCUAGUCUGCCCACUGAUAAAAUUAUUAAAGGGCUGCAGUAUAUUGACUGUACAAAGGUAGCAUAAUCAUUAGUCUUUUAAUUGAAGACUUGUAUGAAAGAUUUGAUGAAAUAUAUACUGUCUCUAAUUUAUAAAUAAAAAUUAAUUUUUUAGUUAAAAAGCUAAAAUAAUAUUAAAAGACGAGAAGACCCUAUAAAGUUUUAUAAUUUAUUUAUUUAAUAUUAAUUAUAUAAUUAAAUAUAAUAAUUAAUUUAAAUUAUUUUAUUGGGGUGAUAAAAAAAUUUAAUUAACUUUUUUUUAAAAAUAAACAUAAAUAAAUGUAACAAUGAUCCAUUAUUAAUGAUUAAAAGAAAAAAUUACUUUAGGGAUAACAGCGUAAUAUUUUUUUUUAGUACGAAUAAAAAAAAAAGUUUGCGACCUCGAUGUUGGAUUAAGAUAAAAUUUAAGUGCAAAAGUUUAAAAUUUUGAUCUGUUCGAUCAUUAAAAUCUUACAUGAUCUGAGCU
RNAcentral lists this ribosomal RNA (537 nucleotides) under Melitaea deione. RNAcentral describes it as "Mellicta deione partial 16S ribosomal RNA". The stretch from base 400 to 537 matches the Rfam family "Archaeal large subunit ribosomal RNA", at positions 2542 to 2680 of the family's 2987-position model. Lineage: Eukaryota; Metazoa; Arthropoda; Insecta; Lepidoptera; Nymphalidae. The record is from RNAcentral.